GUCUCUGGCUACUAACAUGCAGUUUGCUUUCUGAUUUCAGGAAUCCAAACUUCCUGAAGACUCUCCAAGUUUUUUUUAUUCAUAUCCUUGAUUUUAUUGUACGUACUAAUCAGAUGUUGUUCACAGACUGUCUCUCAAUAGACUCAGGCAACAGCAAGGACGUCGUGUGAUCGCAUUGGUCGCGAAAAUUAUGAGUUUUGGAAUAAAUUCCCUGAUUGUGUGUCAUGCAAAUCUUUCGAUCCAACAACGUCCUCCUUGUCUUGGGAGCUUUCGAUUUGCAUUGGCUCCCGCACGGAUCUAGCAAAUUGAUGGCAUAUCAAUGAGAACGCAUGAGAUGAAUGCGUUGUGAAUUGAAUUGGAAACAAAGAUUUUCUUUGAUGGAUACUUACUCUACGCUGUGGUAGAGCUAUACGAAAAGAGGCAUGACCUAUUUAUCCAAGAAAUGAUUUUUAUAAAUUUUUUCACGAUAUUACCGAUGUCAGAAGGAAGAGAGCGAGCAAUGCAAGCCCGAGCCAAAAAUACCAUGCUUCCCAAAGCUGGCGGCUCGGUCUUCGCUGGAUAAGACAACAUUGUGGAUUGCAACAAUAUUGCUUAUCUGGUGUACAAAAUACCGGACCAUUAGCCGUGUAAUUUUCGUUACGAAGUCCCAGAUUACACUCGUAUACCAUACGUGCCAUUGCGAUACGGUGCAGGGGCUGUUAUCUUGGAAUUGAAGGUCUUUGCUUUGAAACUUGGCUAAAGAUUAGAAUACUAGCUGUCACAAUCCUACUCCUUGUACAUAUAGUCCUUAUUUGUGAAUCAGGAGAAUAAAAUUCAGGAACUCUGUUG
Athalia rosae (coleseed sawfly) is the source of this 828-nucleotide long non-coding RNA. RefSeq lists it as uncharacterized. NCBI's taxonomy places the organism in Eukaryota, Metazoa, Arthropoda, Insecta, Hymenoptera, Athaliidae. The record is from RefSeq and is a predicted model, not a curated record. The transcript has 3 exons.